CCGAGUUUACAACUCCCAAACCCAAUGUGAACGUUACCAAACUGUUGCCUCGGCGGGAUCUCUGCCCCGGGUGCGUCGCAGCCCCGGACCAAGGCGCCCGCCGGAGGACCAACCAAAACUCUUAUUGUAUACCCCCUCGCGGGUUUUUUACUAUCUGAGCCAUCUCGGCGCCCCUCGUGGGCGUUUCGAAAAUGAAUCAAAACUUUCAACAACGGAUCUCUUGGUUCUGGCAUCGAUGAAGAACGCAGCGAAAUGCGAUAAGUAAUGUGAAUUGCAGAAUUCAGUGAAUCAUCGAAUCUUUGAACGCACAUUGCGCCCGCCAGUAUUCUGGCGGGCAUGCCUGUCCGAGCGUCAUUUCAACCCUCGAACCCCUCCGGGGGGUCGGCGUUGGGGAUCGGCCCUUUACGGGGCCGGCCCCGAAAUACAGUGGCGGUCUCGCCGCAGCCUCUCCUGCGCAGUAGUUUGCACACUCGCAUCGGGAGCGCGGCGCGUCCACAGCCGUUAAACACCCCAAACUUCUGAAAUGUUGACCUCGGAUCAGGUAGGAAUACCCGCUGAACUUAAGCAUAUCAAAAGCCCGGAGGAAA
This 587-nucleotide ribosomal RNA is filed under the name Trichoderma virens. RNAcentral's name for it is "eukaryotic LSU rRNA". The stretch from base 201 to 354 matches the Rfam family "5.8S ribosomal RNA". Lineage: Eukaryota; Fungi; Ascomycota; Sordariomycetes; Hypocreales; Hypocreaceae. The record is from RNAcentral.